CGCAGCGUUUCGUAUCCCGCGGUGUCAACGAGCUCGAUAAGUCGCUCGACCCGCGCGGUCCCGAUCCGGUUCACGGCGACAGCGCGCUCUCCGACCAAUGGGACGUGCCACGGCCGCGGCACGUCUGGCAUCUCGUCCAGCACCGGCGCGAUGACGACACGGUCGGCGAAACGCUGAAAUCGGUCGUCGGAGAUCACGAAGACCAGACGUCGCCGCUCCUCCCCGCGGUCGGCAAGCCAAAUCUCACCAGCGGCCGGGGUCAAUCCAGCUCAUCCAUCCACUCGUCGAGGUCGGCCUCGACGGCGCGACGGCGGGCACGCUGCUCGGCGGUCUCGACCACGCUCGCGGCCUCGGCCUCCGCCCAGAACUUCUGCGCCUCGUACAGAUCGAGUGCGGCAACGACGACGUCUUCGAGCGAGUCACCGGCGCCGCCCAACGAUCGCAGUCGAUCGCGGGUCGACGUGCUGAUCUUCAUCGUCGUCACAUCAGCCAUACCGAAAGUAUACCGAGCGUCCAAACGAGUGAGGAUCUGGCGGGCGAUGACCCUGCUGACGCGUCUUCAGCACUCCUUCAGCGCGUGGGUGCACGGUUCGGACGGGGAGCGGCGGAGGCCGCUCCCGACGUCCCGAACGGAGGAGUCAUGAGCAGUAAUGCAA
This 656-nucleotide unclassified non-coding RNA is filed under the name uncultured fungus. Its description in RNAcentral is "sequence contains 18S rRNA gene, ITS1, 5.8S rRNA gene, ITS2, 28S rRNA gene". Lineage: Eukaryota; Fungi. The record is from RNAcentral.